Xenia sp. Carnegie-2017 is the source of this 1667-nucleotide RNA transcript. It is a transcript of the gene named collagen alpha-1(XVII) chain-like, with no coding region annotated. The transcript has 8 exons. The record is from RefSeq and is a predicted model, not a curated record. NCBI's taxonomy places the organism in Eukaryota, Metazoa, Cnidaria, Anthozoa, Malacalcyonacea, Xeniidae.
AAUCGCUUGUAUCAUCUGUUCCAAGAACAAUAAUAAGGUUUCGUCGUACAAUGUAAAUUAUCUACAGCUCACAUUUAACGUCCUGCAGAAUAUUUUACUUGUAACGAAGCACAAGAGAUGACAAAAUCAGAAAGAAAAUGCAAUUGCAUAGCAAGACAACAGUUUCUGUCUUUCACCAUUGUUCACAUCAUCGUCACAAUGUUAUUAUUUUCAACACUGACGUACGUGCUAAUACAAACUGUUGCAGAGCAGAAAAAAUUGAUUACAAAAGUUGAGAAAAUGUCGUUGAAGUAUGGCGAACUUAACGCAAAACAAGAUAUUCAUGACACAGCAACUGAAGUAUUAAAGAUAGUGGUAAGACAAGAAAGCCACGAAAGUACGAUAAAUCAAGAGGAAAUACUGAUCAAUGAUGAUUUAAACAAGGAAAAUAAACAAUUACUUAUGACAAGAUACAAACGAAGCAAGAAUUCUGGCUGCUGUGGUGUGGGACUAAAAGGAGCAAAAGGAGAUAAAGGUGCUCGAGGUCGGAGAGGCAGAAAAGGUGCAAGAGGAAAACCUGGGACUAAGGGAGAAAGGGGGGACAAAGGCGACACAGGUAUGAAAACAAUAACAAUUAAUCCUAUUUACAAUAAUUCAACAAUACAAUGUGUGGUUCGAUUGGUCAAAAUAUAAAAAAAUAAACUAUGAUUUUUGUAUUUGCACUAGUUUAUGAGACGCAAUUUGUAUCCAUACACUGCAUAAAAUAGUUUAGGAAUAAGUGCCAAUUACCGGAGAGAUGGCCCGUCGACAUAACAUUCGGAAUCAAAAGAUAUUUUAAUGUACAAAUGUAGAACUGAACGUUUUAAAAAUAGCUUCAUUCUACGAUUAUUUAACAACUAAGAACUACAUAUCUACAUAAAAACUAACAUUAACAUACAUAAAGACUACUGUCCAAUGUUUCAAACCGAAACUCAAAAAAAGGUCAGAUUACAUUUCAUCAGAUAAUUCGAACAGGACAAAAUGGACUUAAUGGAUCUCCUGGAGCACCAGGAUAUACGGGACGACCUGGAAAUAAUGGACAGAAAGGUAACAAAGGAGACGUGGAAACGAGGCUUUCACAUUCAGCACACAUUGUUGGAGAUGGACGUGAGGCAAAAUCAACACUUAUAGUUGGACAAGGAAACGACAGAGCCUUUCUAUUGACAUAUUGGACAAUUGGGCACAACAGAGGACAAAUGAACUACAAUAAUGGAUAUUUAAACAUUGCUGUUCGUGGUUUUUACUACAUUUAUGCGCAAUUGUUUUCUAAGGAUGGUACUGCUGUAACAUUUUCUUUAUAUAUUGAUGAUAAAGUGAUACUAAAAUCAUACCACAUAAAACGAUCGUUUAUAGCUGGUGUAUUUUAUGUCGCAACUAAUCAAAGAAUAAGCGUACGUACAAAGUCCAGUAAAUAUUUCAAAUAUAGUAGUACAGAUACAUUCUUUGGAGCAUUUAUCAUACAUCCUUAAAAAGUUAUACUAUAUGUGUAUAAGAACUUGUAAAUAACUCGUAAGCUACUCCUCUUCAACUUGUAAGUUCUCAAAAUGAUAAUUUUUAUCACAUAUUUAAAUUAUCAUCAAUGUACAAUUAAAAUAUAAAUUUCAUUUUAUCAUUUCACAGUUUUACUGUAAUACAAUAUCACAAAUGAA